This 382-nucleotide ribosomal RNA is filed under the name Pseudonirmus gurlti. Its description in RNAcentral is "partial 12S ribosomal RNA". Lineage: Eukaryota; Metazoa; Arthropoda; Insecta; Psocodea; Philopteridae. The record is from RNAcentral.
AAGUAAAACAUUUUAUUUUAUGUGGAGUAGAGCUUAUUAGUCUUGAAAAACAAAAUCGCGUGGCGGCUUAGCAACUUCAUAGAGGGGUAUGUUUUUUAAUCGACAUUACACGAACAUCUUACCUUUUCUAGUGAAGGGUUUUUAUAAUGUUUCGCAUUCUACACACCGCCGUCGGAAGAGUAUUUCUAGAGAACUUCUCUUUAUCUUUUUAAAGAUGUAAGUCAGGUCAAGGCGUAGACUAUGGAUAGGUUAAAAUGUAUCUCUAUAUUAUUAUUAUGUUUUAAGAAUUGCAUUUUACGUUCAGUUGAAACACCAUUAAAUAAUUGAAUUUAUAAGUAAAGCUUGUUUAUAAUACAAGUUUGAAUAGUGCUCUGUUUUGUGU